AUGACAUUCCGCAACAGCACCUCUAAACCAUCGUCCGAACUUCAUUUCAGUGAUUCUUCAUCAUUGCCAUUCUCCCUCUUUAACCUUUCUCACGCCUCUUACAAUCUCUUUCUCUCUCAUUCCAAAUCCGUGCUUCCUGCUAUCACCGGCUCUUCUCUCAAAACUACCCACAAUUCAUCUCCCAAUUUUAACACCAACCCAACACCACCUUUUCUCAGCAAAAUCGAUUUUGAUGAACAAGAAGAUGAAGAUGAACAACAACGUCACCAACAAUAA
Molecule: non-coding RNA, 276 nt
Organism: Vicia faba (fava bean)
Lineage: Eukaryota; Viridiplantae; Streptophyta; Magnoliopsida; Fabales; Fabaceae
Source: the annotation of a GenBank genome assembly